Long non-coding RNA from Arvicola amphibius (Eurasian water vole), 793 nucleotides. RefSeq lists it as uncharacterized. Lineage: Eukaryota; Metazoa; Chordata; Mammalia; Rodentia; Cricetidae. The record is from RefSeq and is a predicted model, not a curated record. The transcript is spliced from 3 exons.
GCAAGAGAACAAGGAGAGGAGGAUGCUAGGGGAAGCUAUCCAGUUACCCAGGCACUGAGUAAUAAUCAAAGUAAGAUACACAGAGUUUAAAAAAAGGAAAAAGCCCAGAGCCAGAGGCAAAGGACGAAAGGAUAAUUCAAAGAUAAGAAAAGCUGGCAAGGAACAAGCACAGCUAAAGCUAGGCAUUGUAAGGAAGAAGAAGCUACUGUGUGUAAUUUAGCUGGGAGCUGGUUGUCAGGACCAAAAAGAAGGAAGGAAUGAAAAUAACAGACAUGAUGAACAAAAAAGGGGGACACAGUGAAUGCUACUUUGAUGUAACCAUCAGUCCCCUAUAUCCCAACUGACCAGGGCAGCCUUUCUGUACUUAGGGACAGAAUGUGAAAAAAACCAGUAUCUGAGCCAAGCCAUGAUUGGUCCAUUUCUUGCUCUGACCUCACAAUGACAGAACCCUGUUGCCUAACAACUCUGGCUGAGGCUGCCUCCUCUCCUUCCAGUACAGAGGCUGAUCGUCAGUUGAAACUUGGUGAUUUAGACAGAAGUGAGCUGGUUCCACUUGGUGGAUAUUCAUGAACUGUUGAAUCUGAACACUGGCCCGACGGUCAACACCUCACUGCAUAGGCUGAGGCCUAGCAGGAUUUCUGGUCACACCGGGAUCAGCUUGGCCACAGCCACCAAAUCGAGAACCUGGCCAUGGAGCAGGGCAGAGAGACCCUCUACUGUGACGAGAAGACAUUUACCAGUGUGUAUCAAAUGAUGACCACACUGGGACGAGGAACGUUUGCCACAGUCAAAC